Molecule: ribosomal RNA, 474 nt
Filed under: Triticum aestivum (bread wheat)
Lineage: Eukaryota; Viridiplantae; Streptophyta; Magnoliopsida; Poales; Poaceae
Description: partial small subunit ribosomal RNA
Source: RNAcentral
AUGGGAAACAUACACAAGUUCUCUCAGAACUAUGAGAAGUGUGUGAAGGAUAUUAGAGCUGCUAUGGAUACCACCGAUGUGAAGUUUACAAUCGUUGAUGGUGGAAAGGACACAACUGUUCCUGUCACUCCGGGCGAAGAUAACACAAGCCGUGGGGUAUAUGUGAUUAAAAUCACAGACAGCCAGUACAACCUCUCUCUGGUGGCUACUAAAUACCAGGCUUGGUUCAGGGGGAUUGUUACUAACAAUGGAGGCAGAUAUGAGAUUGACAAGAUGCCAACCAAGAUGAUGAAGGGCUCUACAUCACUUCAUACCGAUGGACAGUAUCCACAUUUGCUGUCUGGUGGAGAUAAAGUUGAAGCACUAAAGGUGGGAUUUCAUCGAUUGCUCCAUGCCUUCCCUGCUUUGGCUACUCUUGGGAAGGAUGAGAACAAAAAGGUCACAUCCGAGCAUAAGGAGGCUUUGGCGUGCUAA